GAUGAACGCUAGCGGCAGGCCUAACACAUGCAAGUCGAGGGGUAGAGUUCUUCGGGACUUGAGACCGGCGCACGGGUGCGUAACGCGUAUGCAAUCUACCUUAUACAGGGGAAUAGCCCCAGAGAAAUUUGGAUUAAUGCCCCAUAGUGUUAUCGAAUCGCAUGGUUUGAUAACUAAAGUUCCAACGGUAUAAGAUGAGCAUGCGUCCCAUUAGUUAGUUGGUAAGGUAACGGCUUACCAAGACAAUGAUGGGUAGGGGUCCUGAGAGGGGAGAUCCCCCCANACUGGUACUGAGACACGGACCAGACUCCUACGGGAGGCAGCAGUGAGGAAUAUUGGUCAAUGGGCGCAAGCCUGAACCAGCCAUGCCGCGUGCAGGAAGACGGUCCUAUGGAUUGGUAAACUGC
This 407-nucleotide ribosomal RNA is filed under the name uncultured bacterium. RNAcentral's name for it is "bacterial SSU rRNA". It matches the Rfam family "Bacterial small subunit ribosomal RNA", at positions 28 to 433 of the family's 1533-position model. The record is from RNAcentral.